ACGAACGCUGGCGGCGUGCUUAACACAUGCAAGUCGCACGGAAAGGCCCUGCUUGCAGGGUACUCGAGUGGCGAACGGGUGAGUAACACGUGGGUGAUCUGCCCUGCACUUCGGGAUAAGCCUGGGAAACUGGGUCUAAUACCGGAUAGGAGCCAUUUUUAGUGUGAUGGUUGGAAAGUUUUUUCGGUGUAGGAUGAGCUCGCGGCCUAUCAGCUUGUUGGUGGGGUAAUGGCCUACCAAGGCGGCGACGGGUAGCCGGCCUGAGAGGGUGGACGGCCACAUUGGGACUGAGAUACGGCCCAGACUCCUACGGGAGGCAGCAGUGGGGAAUAUUGCACAAUGGGCGCCAGCCUGAUGCAGCGACGCCGCGUGGGGGAUGACGGCCUUCGGGUUGUAAACUCCUUUCGCUAGGGACGAAGCUUUUUGUGACGGUACCUAGAUAAGAAGCACCGGCUAACUACGUG
Molecule: ribosomal RNA, 464 nt
Filed under: uncultured bacterium
Lineage: Bacteria
Description: partial 16S ribosomal RNA
Rfam family: Bacterial small subunit ribosomal RNA
Source: RNAcentral